RNAcentral lists this ribosomal RNA (437 nucleotides) under uncultured bacterium. RNAcentral describes it as "bacterial SSU rRNA". It matches the Rfam family "Bacterial small subunit ribosomal RNA", at positions 28 to 505 of the family's 1533-position model. The record is from RNAcentral.
GAUGAACGCUGGCGGCGUGCCUAAUACAUGCAAGUCGAGCGGAAACACUUCGGGUGUCGAGCGGCGGACGGGUGAGUAACGCGUAAGAAUGUACCCCAGACUGAGGGAUAAGCGUCAGAAAUGGCGUCUAAUACCGCAUAACCUCUACGGAGAAAAGAAUUUAUUCGGUUUGGGAACAGCUUGCGUAGGAUUAGCUAGUUGGUAAGGUAAAGGCUUACCAAGGCUACGAUCCUUAGCUGGUUUGAGAGGAUGAUCAGCCACACUGGAACUGAGACACGGUCCAGACUCCUACGGGAGGCAGCAGUAGGGAAUCUUCCACAAUGGGCGAAAGCCUGAUGGAGCAACGCCGCGUGCAGGAUGAAGGCCUUAGGGUUGUAAACUGCUUUUAUAAGUGAAGAAUUUGACGGUAACUUAUGAAUAAGCCUCGGCUAACUCCG